GUCAGCUGGGGCGUGCGAGCUGUAAAUCAGGUUCGUGGCGGCUCUGAGAAGGGACGCGCCCAGAAAAGUGUCCGAGGGAGACAGGAGCUCUGCGCUGCUGAGUCCAGGCUUCUGGAAACGACGGGCGCUGGGGGCCAUGGAGCCACGUGCAAAAAGACUGGACGCGGGCAAAUGGACUGCAAGGGAACGAGUCCCGGCGAGAAAGCAGGAGCGAUCCCGGGAAGCGGAGUUCUCAAGGCUGCUGGCUGCGCUUUGCCGGAUCUCCUGGAUUCUGACACGUGUGACCCAGUUUGACAACAGAAUAACAGGUACAGGAGCUCUGUCAAGACAAGUCCUUUGGAAGGUUACUCUUUUAUGAAAAGUAUCCCAAGUGCCUGACUCUUUUCGGUAACUGUAUGUGCAUGGAGUCUCAGGGCCCUUCUGCUGGGAAAGUUCCAUCAAAUAUUACCCAGGUGAUCAGAAUGAGAAGUUGGCCAUUUUUGUAUGAAAUCACCCUGCUGGUCAGACUCUCACUCUAGUUCUUCAGUUCUAAACUAAAACUACUGCAGACUUUGAGCCAACAUGUUGUUAGGGGGAGAUGGCCUAGGAAUCUAGAUGCAGAUGUUUUGGGUACAAGUUCUGUCUAUUAUUUCUUUCCUAUCUAAAAAAACCUAUUACUCACUUACACUUGUUAUUAUCAUCAUCAUUCUUAGUAAUAUGAUCAUGGAUAUUAAACGUAGCAUCAAUCAAUAGCAAACUGAAAAUGUCUUUUUCUGUGUGUUUAAUCAGAGUGAUUUGCUUUUCCCUUCUAGUGUCAGAUCUAAAGUGAAAUUGCAUCUCUUUACAUCCUUCCUCAUUUCUUUCAGACAGUGUCUUGGCAAACAUGUCAGUGCAUCCAAGCCUAAAUUUCCUUGAUCAGUCAUGUCUCUUCAACUUAACAAAGCCAGUUUAAUUCAAAGAGUUCUAAACAAGAAUGUUUUGACAGCCUACCAUGAGCAAGGUGCUGUGAUAGUGCUGCACAUACAGAAUUGUAGAACUGGGUCCUGCUUUGGCAGAGCUGAAUUUUAAGGGGAGAGCAAAGACACAGACAAGAGAACAUGAAGAUACAGCUGAAUCUUGUUCCCUGUGACAGUGGAUUUGCUGCCUGGAAAGCAAACUGGAAUAUUUGAAAGACUCACUAAAGCCAAUAUUUUGCAUAAGCUGAGGAAAAAAGACAAUGGUAGGGUAAAAAUGAGGGAAAAGGAAACCAAGGAAAGAAGGCAAACAAUCAAAAUGACAAAUAGGAGAUAUAAGUAAAUAAAGUAAGUGGAUGAAAGUAUGAACAGCAGAGGAAGUAGAGGGUUGGAAGCUCUGGUCAAGAGAGCCGAUAGCGGUAAGUUGAAGGGGUUCAUGAGAAUAACAUGGAAUGGCUGCACCUGAUUUGGGGGGGAAUCUAGUGAGGAGAUGUGGGUUUGAUCCCUGGGUUGGGAAGAUCCCCUGGAGAAAGAA
This 1467-nucleotide long non-coding RNA is filed under the name Capra hircus (goat). RNAcentral describes it as "lncRNA (ENSCHIG00010018812.1)". The record is from RNAcentral. Lineage: Eukaryota; Metazoa; Chordata; Mammalia; Artiodactyla; Bovidae.